UGUCUUUUGCGUAGUUGAGGGCAUCGA
RNAcentral lists this small RNA (27 nucleotides) under Bombyx mori (domestic silkworm). Its description in RNAcentral is "ovarian small RNA-35867". The record is from RNAcentral. Lineage: Eukaryota; Metazoa; Arthropoda; Insecta; Lepidoptera; Bombycidae.